RNAcentral lists this ribosomal RNA (468 nucleotides) under uncultured bacterium. RNAcentral's name for it is "partial 16S ribosomal RNA". It matches the Rfam family "Bacterial small subunit ribosomal RNA", at positions 28 to 507 of the family's 1533-position model. The record is from RNAcentral.
GACGAACGCUGGCGGCGUGCUUAACACAUGCAAGUCGAACGGAAAGGCCCUGCUUUUGUGGGGUGCUCGAGUGGCGAACGGGUGAGUAACACGUGAGUAACCUGCCCUUGACUUUGGGAUAACUUCAGGAAACUGGGGCUAAUACCGGAUAGGAGCUCCUGCUGCAUGGUGGGGGUUGGAAAGUUUCGGCGGUUGGGGAUGGACUCGCGGCUUAUCAGCUUGUUGGUGGGGUAGUGGCUUACCAAGGCUUUGACGGGUAGCCGGCCUGAGAGGGUGACCGGCGACGUGGGGAGGGGGGAACGGCCGAGCCUCAUACGGGAGGCAGCAGGGGGGCGUGUUGGACAAUGGGCGGAGGCAUGAUGAAGGAAGGCGGCGGGGGGGAUGAGGGAAUGCGGGUGGUAAACCGAGUGCGCCGGGGCAGAAGCGUGCGAGAGGGUAAUGGGUAAGAAGGACCGGGCUAGCUACGUC